UGAGGAAUCUUGCGCAAUGGGGGAACCCUGACGCAGCAACGCCGCGUGAGUGAGGAAGGCCUUCGGGUCGUAAAGCUCUGUCAGAUGGGAAGAAAUGGGUGGGGGCUAAUAUCGUCCAUCCUUGACGGUACCAUCAGAGGAAGCACCGGCUAACUCCGUGCCAGCAGCCGCGGUAAUACUGGGGGUGCAAGCGUUGUUCGGAAUCAUUGGGCGUAAAGCGCGCGCAGGCGGCUUGGUAAGUCAGAUGUGAAAUCCCUGGGCUUAACCCAGGAAGUGCAUUUGAUACUGCCUCGCUAGAGUACGGGAGAGGAAAGUGGAAUUCCUGGUGUAGAGGUGAAAUUCGUAGAUAUCAGGAGGAAAACCGGUGGCGAAGGCGACUUUCUGGCCCGAUACUGACGCUCAGGCGCGAAAGCGUGGGGAGCAAACAG
This 428-nucleotide ribosomal RNA is filed under the name uncultured bacterium. RNAcentral describes it as "bacterial SSU rRNA". It matches the Rfam family "Bacterial small subunit ribosomal RNA", at positions 355 to 775 of the family's 1533-position model. The record is from RNAcentral.